GAAAUGCGAUAAGUAAUGUGAAUUUCAGAAUUCAGUGAAUCAUCGAAUCUUUGAACGCACAUUGCGCCCGCCAGUAUUCUGGCGGGCAUGCCUGUUCGAGCGUCAUUUCAACCAUCAAGCCCCCGGCUUGUGUUGGGGACCUGCGGCUGCCCGCAGGCCCUGAAAAACAGUGGCGGGCUCGCUGUCACACCGAGCGUAGUAGCAUACAUUCUCGCUCAGGGCGUGCUGCGGGUUCCGGCCGUUAAACGACCUUCAUAACCCAAGGUUGACCUCGGAUCAGGUAGGAAGACCCGCUGAACUUAAGC
This 305-nucleotide unclassified non-coding RNA is filed under the name plant metagenome. Its description in RNAcentral is "partial contains 5.8S ribosomal RNA, internal transcribed spacer 2, and large subunit ribosomal RNA". The stretch from base 1 to 105 matches the Rfam family "5.8S ribosomal RNA", at positions 50 to 154 of the family's 154-position model. The record is from RNAcentral.